This 253-nucleotide ribosomal RNA is filed under the name uncultured bacterium. Its description in RNAcentral is "partial 16S ribosomal RNA". It matches the Rfam family "Bacterial small subunit ribosomal RNA", at positions 524 to 776 of the family's 1533-position model. The record is from RNAcentral.
UACGAAGGGGGCUAGCGUUGUUCGGAAUUACUGGGCGUAAAGGGCGCGUAGGCGGCGUGUCAAGUCAGGCGUGAAAGCCCCGGGCUCAACCUGGGAACCGCGCUUGAGACUGGCAUGCUCGAGUUCGGGAGAGGAUGGUGGAAUUCCCAGUGUAGAGGUGAAAUUCGUAGAUAUUGGGAAGAACACUGAUGGCGAAGGCAGCCAUCUGGACCGACACUGACGCUGAGGCGCGAAAGCGUGGGGAGCAAACAGG